UGAAGCGGCAAAAGCUCAAAUUUGAAAUCCCCCCGGGGAGUUGUAAUUUGAAGAUUGCGUCUUGGAGGCGACCGUGUCUAUGUUCCUUGGAACAGGACGUCACAGAGGGUGAGAAUCCCGUGCGGCACGGCCCCCGGCUCCUUAUAAGGCGCUCUCGACGAGUCGAGUUGUUUGGGAAUGCAGCUCAAAGUGGGUGGUAAAUUCCAUCUAAAGCUAAAUACAGGCGAGAGACCGAUAGCGAACAAGUACAGUGAUGGAAAGAUGAAAAGCACUUUGAAAAGAGAGUGAAACAGCACGUGAAAUUGUUGAAAGGGAAGGGCAUGCCGUCAGAUUGUCAGUGUGGGUAAGAAGCGGGGUACAAAGACUGUGGAACGUGGCCCUCGGGUGUUAUAGCCGCAGUUCAUGCCCCGUCUCUUUCCGAGGCCUGCUUUGAGGACACCGACGUAAUGACGGUACGCCGCCCGUCUUGAACCACGGACCCA
Molecule: ribosomal RNA, 482 nt
Filed under: Kodamaea ohmeri
Lineage: Eukaryota; Fungi; Ascomycota; Pichiomycetes; Serinales; Debaryomycetaceae
Description: eukaryotic LSU rRNA
Rfam family: Eukaryotic large subunit ribosomal RNA
Source: RNAcentral